Molecule: ribosomal RNA, 427 nt
Filed under: uncultured bacterium
Lineage: Bacteria
Description: partial 16S ribosomal RNA
Rfam family: Bacterial small subunit ribosomal RNA
Source: RNAcentral
UGGGGAAUAUUGCACAAUGGGCGCAAGCCUGAUGCAGCCAUGCCGCGUGUGUGAAGAAGGCCUUCGGGUUGUAAAGCACUUUCAGCGAGGAGGAAGGGUAGUGUGUUAAUAGCACAUUGCAUUGACGUUACUCGCAGAAGAAGCUCCGGCUAACUCCGUGCCAGCAGCCGCGGUAAUACGGAGGGUGCAAGCGUUAAUCGGAAUUACUGGGCGUAAAGCGCACGCAGGCGGUUUGUUAAGUCAGAUGUGAAAUCCCCGCGCUUAACGUGGGAACUGCAUUUGAAACUGGCAAGCUAGAGUCUUGUAGAGGGGGGUAGAAUUCCAGGUGUAGCGGUGAAAUGCGUAGAGAUCUGGAGGAAUACCGGUGGCGAAGGCGGCCCCCUGGACAAAGACUGACGCUCAGGUGCGAAAGCGUGGGGAGCAAACA